Molecule: long non-coding RNA, 657 nt
Filed under: Vigna radiata
Lineage: Eukaryota; Viridiplantae; Streptophyta; Magnoliopsida; Fabales; Fabaceae
Description: long non-coding RNA (VRAD_LNC005635)
Source: RNAcentral
AGUAAAUCAACCUAAACACAACCAGAAUAUGACAAGGACAACCACAAUACACACACACAAAGCUACAACUAACAUCUUCAUCCUUUUCUGCAUUUUCUGCAAAUCCUUCACUGCAUUUUCCAGCUCGCUUAUCCUCUUCAGAAUUGUGCAAUCUUUUUCAUCAACGUUGUCUUCACAACACCACUUAAAAAAGUUACAGCAGCUCCNAAAUNAAGAUCCACCNUGUUAUCCACCAUGUUAUUCAACGAUACCUACCAUCAAGUCAAAUGAAGAAAAGAUUAGCUGAGAACUUCAAACCUUGUAACGAGGACAACCCCAAAAAUUUCUCCCAACAUUCUUCGUAGUUCUGGCCACUUUGAUUACUACAACAUCUCCACAAUAACACGUUGGGAUUAACCCACCUCCCCUACAAGCACCACCAUGGGACGAACGAGAAGAACACCCUUUGGCCCAACUUUUGGAAACCGAAGAACACCCUUGGAAAGCCAUUCCUAUUUCUCCACAAACACUUUCCAAAUCUCAAAGACCAAUUGGGUGGAAACCAAACGCUAACCCCUUUUACUUCUUAACCAAGUGAAUUCUUCUCAAAUCCCAACUUUACCCUUCAAAGUUCUGAUCAAUAAACUGCCACGUUGCACAGAACAUAGGUCAAACGUU